UUGGUAGCAAACUUCUGCCCUCAGGGGAUCCUCCAUUUGUGUUGUAAGCCUCCCUUCGCUCGGACAUGGUGAACGGGUAUUGGUAACGCGGGCGUUACCACUACAGAUGGAGGUUCCUACCGAGAUCUGAGUAAGAAGGACCAGCUGACGGACACUCUUGGAAGGCCGGCCGGCAUUUUACAG
Non-coding RNA from Peromyscus maniculatus bairdii (prairie deer mouse), 183 nucleotides. Lineage: Eukaryota; Metazoa; Chordata; Mammalia; Rodentia; Cricetidae. The record is from RefSeq and is a predicted model, not a curated record.